Molecule: ribosomal RNA, 373 nt
Filed under: uncultured bacterium
Lineage: Bacteria
Description: bacterial SSU rRNA
Rfam family: Bacterial small subunit ribosomal RNA
Source: RNAcentral
ACGGAGGGCGCAAGCGUUGUUCGGAAUUACUGGGCGUAAAGCGCGGGCAGGCGGUCUGUUAAGUCGUUUGUGAAAAUCCGGGGCUCAACCCCGGAAAUGCAUACGAUACUGGCAGGCUGGAGACUGGUAGAGGCUAGCGGAAUUCCUGGUGUAGCGGUGGAAUGCGUAGAUAUCAGGAAGAACACCUGUGGCGAAGGCGGCUAGCUGGGCCAGUUCUGACGCUGAUCCGCGAAAGCGUGGGGAGCAAACAGGAUUAGAUACCCUGGUAGUCCACGCCGUAAACGAUGGGCACUAGGUGCCGGGUCUCUAGACGGAUUCGGUGCCGCAGUUAACACAUUAAGUGCCCCGCCUGGGGAGUACGGUCGCAAGGCUG